Non-coding RNA from Taeniopygia guttata (zebra finch), 8636 nucleotides. Lineage: Eukaryota; Metazoa; Chordata; Aves; Passeriformes; Estrildidae. The record is from RefSeq and is a predicted model, not a curated record.
GGAAGCUCUGGUAGAAAGGCCAGGAUAUUAUUGAGCUGGGGGUGGAAAGGCAGUGGUAGUGAUUAUUGUAUCAGUAUGGACAUGGAGCCAUGCAGAUAUUCUGAUGGACCUUCAAAUGUUUUUGGCAGUUCUGUGGUGUUUACAUCUGCCAUAAAAAAUCCCCACUCGUUCCCCACAACUGCUCCAUGUGCCAAAAGAGGAGGCAGUGUCCUUCACUUACCCUUGUGCUGUGCUGCUUGGAACUCCCUCUCCAGCCUGGUGAAUUCACUGUGUCUCACAGUGCUGCAGCUUGGCUGCCCCAAACUGGCUGAGUGUCAAAUAUUUCAGUGCAGUAAUUGCCACAGCUUUGUUCAAAGAGGUUUUUCUGCAUAGGAUAUGAUGUACAGGUGACCACAAGUAAAGAAGAAAAAAUAACAUUAAUACAUUAUUUUUAAGGAGGGAAAGUACUCAUGGGAAGCGGUGUAACACUUCUGAUCAAUAAUGGACAGAGAAAAUGUGGGACAAGAAAAUUCAGUAAAAAGUCAUUUCUGGCACUUUAGAGAGGCAGAGACCACUGAGCAAAGGCCUUACAGACAUUGACAUGUGGGUGUUGAAAACUGAAGCAGUGAAGAAAUAAACAAGGGUAGGUGUAAAUGUGCAGGUUUUGGAUGUGGAGCAAUCAGGGUUUUGAGUUAAAGCUCAGUCUCACUGUGAUACCUGGGCAGGAGUUGGUGUGCAUGUGAGUUCAGCCUUCCAUGGACAGAAAGAGGGCAAUAAAGAGACUCUGUCUCUUUGAAGCAUUUGGGAUGCACCUUGUGGUGCUGGAGAAUAAAUAUAAGGAAUUUCCAAGUAUCAUUAUGAUUAAAUGAGUGGAAAUAGUAUGGUAGGGUUUAAAUUUGCAGCUCAAUUUUCAGAAUGAAACAACACAUACAAAACUACAGAGGUGGGGAGGUUGUUUGCAGGGUUUUUGUUUGCUUUAGAAAGGGAAUUUUCUUUCCCCCAGUUUGGGCAGCAGAUGGGUCUCGUGGGAUUUGCUUUCUGACAUAUGGGAGAUAUUCAGGCUUUCAGAUUUCAUUACCCCUUUCUUCAUUAUUGUGCCUUGAGGAGUUAUAAAUAACACAUGGCUAAUUUGUGAAUAUGGCACGUUCGGGGGGAUGUGUGUAUUUUAACCAGGGCACCUUCUGACAUUUGCCAAUUGGUUUACAGAUUUGUUAUAUAAUUUCACAAGCAAUAAGUUGCUAAGAGGAAAAAAAAUCUAAAUUUAUGUGAUCCAAAAUCUGCCCUCAUUGCACCCCUACAGCAGCUGUGCUCCUUCCAGGUCUAACUGAGGACAGAUUUUAAGUCAACAAGCACAUCAACUGGCAUCUCAAUUUUCAUUUCUUGCAGUUUUAGUAGAGCAGUAGUUAUAUUCUUCACAGCAUCUUUCCUUUAAUUAAGUUUUUCUCUGUGUGUGUGUAUCACUGAACAGCUCCUAAGAUGCAGGCAGAUUGUGUCUGGUGAGAAAUAAGGUUUUGGUGGGAGGUGCCUGUUUGUUACUGGGCACAUUUUGGGUUUGUCAGAACAGGUCACGAGCCUCUGGCAUUUCUGCAUGGGGGCACUGAGAACAUCUGCAGGCAGAUGCUCACGUCCUCCCUUUCCUGAGCUGCCCACCCCAAAUUAGCUUUAUUUCCAAAACCAGCGGCUCCCAGGCUGGCUUGUAGUCCUGCUGUCCUGGAGCCUGGGCAUCAGCCCUUGGAAAUGGGCUGGGGAGUGAUUUGAGGUUUUUUGUGAGAAGAAGCACCCGGGCCAGCGGCGCCAUCAGCCGGGAGCGGCUGCCAGGGAGCGGCCGGAGGCACCAGGGCAGCUCCUGGCAGGAACCCCUGCCUGCCUCACCAGGGCCAGGAUGGGCCCUGCCUUGGGGCGGCCGUGGCUCUGUCCCCGUUUCGUGUCAGCUGUGGGGCACUCCCCCAUUUUGUGUCAGGGCAUGAGGAGGGGGCAUUCCACCAUUUUGUGUCAAGGUGUGGGAUUAUGCCACCAUUUUGUGUCAGGCCAUGGCAUUACUCCGCCAUUUUGUGUCAGGCUCUGGGGUCACUCUGCCAUUUUGAGUCGGGCCAUGAGUUACUCCAUCAUUUUUUGUGUGGAGAGAGGCUGAAUAAGGCUCGAGGGGUGAGGUGUUUCAUAGGAGUGAGAACAUCCUAGAGCUGCUUCUCCUGCUUCUUUUGGCACACACCCCCCUGUUUAUGCUUCCCAAGUGAUAAACUUGUUUACAAGUGUGUUGUUCUACAGUUCCUGUAACUUUUGGACUUGAAUCCUGGGAUGGGAACAGCGAAUGGCCUGGAAACUGAAGUGAGGUCCAUAACGUGGGAACCUGCACAGGGAGGUCUGGGCACUGGGGACUUGUACCCUCCACGUUAUGAGAUGUGGAUGAUGUAUAAGAUCAGACAACUGGGGGGAUUAGGGGGGGAGGAAAGUAGAUCAGCCUGGAUCUGGAAUUCUGAGGACUUCUAUGCCUCUGUUACAUUUUUCAAGUUCUUCUACUUAACCAAUGCAGUACUGGCACAUUUAGAACUGAUGCUAACUACGACAGAAAUAUGGUAGAAGUCCAUUAAAGCCUUGCAACUUCCUUUUCUUGAUUUGAGUUUAGUUUUCUGCAUCACGGAUCCCAUCAUCCCAAGCUGGAGCUGUGAGUGCAAAGAGCUUCACCUGUGCUGGCAUGUUGAAAACCCUGAGAGGCUCCAGCUGCAUUUGCCUUCUGCAGAGUGCUGCUGGGAGUGUAGGACAUCGUACAUCAGUGCCCCAGCACUGAGCCAGGAGCAGUGAGGAGGUGCCUGGAGCACUCUUGGUGCUGUGGGGCAGGGACACAGGAGGGGCUCUCUCAUUCCCAAGGGAAGCUCCCUCAGAAUGGUGAGGCUGCCGAGUGGCAUUCUACAUGGAGCUGGCAGCUUUGUGGCUCACUUUGGGGCUCUCAGCUCUCCACAGACCCAUCACUUCUUCUGUGCUGAGGCUCCUGGUUCGGGCAGCACUCGGUGCCUGACGGCUGCAGCCCAGGACGUCCCCUCCUACCUCGGGAAAAUAUUCCACAGCAAGAAAAUAAAUUGCUUCCUUGAAUUCCAGUUCAAAUUAAUGGAAGUCUGGGGGGGAAGAAACAGACAAACAAACGAAGACCUGCCAAAGGAAAGCCUUGCACCUGUCAGUAACUUGUGAAAAGCGAUUCCUCAUUUCUGAGAUCCCUGCCAGGAAUGGGAGAUUUAGCAAGAGUUUCCAAGUUCCUCAGACAAUUGGAAAUGCCCCAGGUCCCUUCUGCAGCCGAUGUCCUCCUGAGGAUGAUGUGUCACCACGUGAAGAUUGAUCUCAGGAAGGACAAAUCAAUUCUGAAACCCAUCGGAGAGGGAAAUGUUUCGAUACGAGCGUGCUCUGCGGGGUCCAGCCAUGGUCGGACAGGAGGAGUCUCCUCCUCCUCCUCCUCCUCCCACAUUCUUUGUCUUUGCUCUGACACAAACCUGGCCCUGUCUCCCCAUCUCUGGGAGUUGGGCACCCACAUUCUUUCGUGGGAAAAAGGAGAGGAAUAUCUGGCUCCCAGUACCUCCACAGAAGAGUUUGAGUCAUUUACAUGAGGAAUUCAGCGAGCAGAGAUCUUCACUUUGAUCAGAUCUGUCUUUUCAGGAACAAGCUGCCACUCUGGGCACCAAAACAGAUCAUCACAGGAACUACAACAAAGAGCAGUGUUCUGCCAAAGCUGCAGGCAGGAGUCUGUCAGGGAGAAUGAUGGAGCAAGAAGAGCGGAGUUCUAACAGACAAAGGGGGAAGGAAGGAAGGGAGAAAAGUGUCAGAAACUGGAAAAGACUUCAAGGGACACAACACUGCCUAAUGGGGCAGAAACUGAGAGACAAGUGAGCUGCAGUACAGGGUGAUUUGCAUUCCUCCAAGAUGAUUUGUAAAAGGGGAAAAGUUGUAGAUGAAAUGCUUUGAUUCGCCUUUCUCUCACUCUGCCCGUGCACUUGUGUCAUUCAUUUUGUGUAGUAACCUCUACUAAACAGUCAGAGGUUGCAGCAUCAUUUUGGUGCCCUGAAAUUAAGGCAAAAAGCUGCAGUUCUGGAAUUUGGAGCUCAUAGUACCUAACUGGCUGAAGGGAAAAAUAAAGAAGUAAAGAUCAAUGACAACUUUUUGUGUCACGUGAAAAGUCAAAGCUCAUGCAUCAGGGAGCUUCAAAACAAUGAGAUUCAUGUAAGUUCAGCCUAUGUCUCAGUCCUAAAAUUGCAUUAAAAUUAAACUCCCUGUUUCUAAUUCUCAUUCAGUGGAGCUUAGAUGAACCUCAGAUUUUAGGUUAUGGGAGUUAUGGGAAUUGAUUUCUUUGCAACACAAAGUGCCAAAAAUGGGAAAUAGUGGCAGUUUUAGGGGCUCUUUGUGCUUUCUUUCCUUUUUAUUCCUGUCUAUCCAGCAUGGCAGAAAUGCAAUCUAACUGAGUAUCAGGAAGGUGACCUCCAUUAAGUUGGCAAGUGAGGGGAAAAAGUUCAUCUUUCAGGCUUUGAAGGAGCCGAUACCAGGAGAAAAACUGUGCCUGCAAUACAAAGCCAGAAGUUAUCAACUGCCCUGAGAGAUGUUUUCACAAAUCAACAAAGAACACAAGGCAGGAAAACCAGAGCAUUGCUGUGUCUGUGUCCCUCAGAGGAGAGACUGCAAAGCUGCGAGUGCAGAGCAGGUAGGAGCUGGCUGUCAGUGCAGUGUCAGCUCCCAGCAGAACAGGAAUCACUCAGAAGUCUCAGGAUGAGUCCCUGCUGCCUGGCACACUCUGCAGGGUUCCAUGCAAAGCCCAGAAGGGGCAGAGUUUGCAGCCAGCCCCAGAGCACCAUGUCAGGCCGUGCAGAAAGAGGAUUGCAGCAGAAAUAGGGCAUCACUAGAUCUGUCUGAGACCUGGAACUGACCCCAGAUGAGGCUCAACUUGAAUAAUUGUCUUAGUUCCUUCUUUUGUCCUUCCACCCCAAAUAUGUUUAGCCUGUAUUUUGCUCCAGCACGCUUCUAUAAAUCCUCAGAGGAUCCAUCUGGGAAGCACUUCCAGGAUGGAAAUGCUCUGACCAUUAGAUGUUUCCAGGUGAGGUGCAUACCCUUAUGUUCUGUAUUACUGACAGUAAUGGCAGUGCUUCCUUUUUUUUUACAUGUUUGUGUGACUUCAGGACACAGUUACCCCUAUAAAAGAGAAUGUAUAUGCCAGUGCUGUUACUGCAGGGAUGUAGGUGCAGUACCACACACUGAUAGUACAUUGCAGCAUUUAAGGCAGUGUCUGCCGUGUCACCGUGACAAACGAGAGGUGCACAGCUCUGCAGCCUGAGGCCAUCACUGCACCCACAGGGGCAGAGGCACCCACAGCAGCUCUGGUACUGCAGCUCCUGUCUCCUGUGCUCGGAGGUGCCUCCUCUCCCAGACCAGCUGUGCUGGACCUUGCCUCUGCAGCUGCUGUGGCCGGUGCCACCUGAUACAUGGCAGCUCUCAAGGGGAGUCUCCUCUGAUGGGGACUGCCCAGCAGCAGCAGUCAUCGCACUGAGCACUGACAAAUGUAGGGCUGAACUGCAGAGUAGGAACGACUUUGUUAUUUCAUCCUCUGAAGCCUUUUCCUUGGAGUGUGUUCAGGGAAGGAUGGGAGAGAGACAUUUUUACCUUUCUGCUUUUGUCUCUUUCCGUGGUACAUCACAUCCAUCCCUUCCACAGCUGAACCAGUGGGUCUGUACUUUCUGAGAAGAAUUCAGCAGAAAUCUUUUUCAAUCUUUUGUCCCCCUAGAAACUGCACCAGUUUUUGGAGCAAUCCCUCUGAAGAUAUUUCGGUAAAAUUUUCCUUUUAGUUCUUGCUGCUCAGACAUGAGGCUGACACAAAACCACCUAAGUAACGUCCCCAGCCUCGGUGGAAGGGCUGCACUCUCUGAACUCCAUAAUUACAGCACAAUUAUGGAGAUAAUGAUGGCAGGUUUUAGGCCACUGGCUCUGAUCCUCCUGCUCAGGGCUGAGCAUGGCAUUUGUCUGUGUUUCCCUGUCACUGGGGCUGAUCACUCCGUGCUCCCUAAGGGACCAAGGCUCGCUCUCCACAGCUCCUUAGAGCUGAGGGUGCUGCCCACACUGAGAGAUGGGUGGGUGGGACUGUGUCAUGUCUCCAGGGACAGAUAUGCUGCUGGGGGGGAAAUUUCUGUUCCAGCACACCUCCAUACAGAGAGAAAUACAGAGAAAAAAGGAAAAGGAGUUUAUAGCCAGAAGGCAGCAUUUAAAUGCCAGUGUGGCAACCAAAGAGGUGAGGGAAUGAAACCCCAACAGAGGCAGCAGAGGAAGGUCACUGCUGCCAGGGACAGCAACAGCAGAUGGCCACAAGCACAAAUCAAGAAUUCUGCAGACAGGAGUUUUACUCUCGCCCUUUGAUUUUUUUAGCCAAUUUGCAUUGCAGUUUAUCUGCAUGGCCACUGGAAGGUUGGCAAGGGCCAGAGGGCCCUAAGGGAGAACAGUUUAAUGUGUCCAUGUGGCUGGUCAGAGGUGCUGCCAGCAUUAAACCUGCUCAGAUCAGUUCUCUCUGCUGGGAUGACAGCAGCAACCAAAGAGCCACCUGAGGAUCUCCUCCACCUGAAAUGCAAAUACCCUCUCCCUUUCCCUGUGCAAUCCUAAAGCUGGCACAGACAUUUCCUGCAUGGGGCUUGGACGCUGCUUAAACUUGGAUUUCAUCGCAUUUCCCUGCUGGGUGGAAACUUGCAGAGGCCAGGUGAGAACAUUUUGGCUUUAGGUAAGAAGAGGCAUUUCCUAGUACCUGUGAGGAGCUGCUUCAGGCACAGAACAAGGCACUGACUGCACAUCUACCCCGGCAAAAAUAAAAGAGCUGAGCUUAGUGGUGCCUAGCAGGGAAUGUGCCCAGAUUUACACCUGAGACACCUGCACUGCCAGCCCCUCUUGCCUCCCUAGGAAAAGCUAAUGUUGCACAAAGAGCACUCGGGCAAACUGCUGCUCCUGUUCAUGUCAGUUCUGUAGAACUGAGCCACCAAUAUUCCACAUUCUGUUUAACUUCCCACCUUUGGAGGUUUUCUUCUGCUGCACUGUGUUUAUUUUCUGGACAGACUCAAUUUUGCUGGCGCAGGAAAUAAAAAUAAUAAAGCUUAUGACAGCAGAGCAGGAAACAAAUGACACCUGUGCAUUUGUCAUUGAUCCUUGAAAAAGCAGGUGAACCCCAGACUUACUUUUGGAUUUAUCUCUGCAGGUUGUACUCAUGGGUCAGGGCAAUCCUAACCCAGGCACAGCCUCCUGUCAGCCGCAGGGGCCGGAGCAGCCGGCCCUGCCCUGAGCCUCGCUGGGGUCUUGGCUUGUGCAAAGCCUCUGGGCUCCUUCCACGUGCUGAUGAGAACAACUAAAGAUGCCACACGGUGGGCACUGUCCCCUCCUCCCCCAUAAGUGUCCCCCAGGGUGGCUGCAGCUGACAGGGUAACGUUUCUGGAAUCGGGCAUCUCCCAGAGUGCUGCUAACAACACAUCCCAUCGCUUCUUGUCACUUUUUAUUGAGUGCAAGCAUGAAAAUUUCUGCAAUGGACAAUGGAAAGCAGUACAGAAAACCCGAGACAAUGACCAUAAAUGGCCCUGCUGAGAAAGCAGAUCCCAUGUAAUUGGAUGGAGGGGGAAGGUAAUUCCCAACAGAUUAAAUAAAACAGCCAAGGCAGGUCCUGAUCUCACUGUGAUACUGAGAUGGAAAACUCACAUGCUUGAGAUUAUUUCAAAGGGAAAUAAGAGGCAGGAGGACAGGUGGGCCUGUGUGUUGGUAACUCUGUUGAACACAGUUAAAGAAGCCCCAAAACACAGCAGUUAUUGGGAAUAUGGUUGAGGAGAGACAGCCACAGAUGUCUGCAGAACAAUUACCGAGUGCUUGACAAGUGGAAAGCUGAAUCUUUUCAGUGAGUGCCAACCUGGGUGCUGUGCACCCAGACCUGGAGCACCAGGGUGAUGCAUCUCCCUCAGGAGUCCUGCUGCCAUCAUUGGAGUGUGCAUCCUUUCAUCCUGGAGUGUGCAUAUUCCUUGGAAAACACCCAGAAGAAAACUGGAGCAGGGCCCAGACUGGGGGCUGCCACUUCCAGGGGAUGAUGUGUCAGCUCUGUUAGAAUUGCUAAUUAUUGAGGCACCGAAUUGGCUCUGAGGAGUUCAGCAGCAUGCCUGGGGAGAGUCCUGGUGAGCGGAUCUGGAGCGAUGGAUGGAAAUCCAAGCCCUGCACGGAGCCCCAUGCCCCAGCUGUGCCCGGCUCCCUGUGCUGCCCUGGAGAGCAGCUGCUCCCCUGAGCAGAUCUCUGGGCCCAAGGCUCAGCUUUGCUGCCACUCUGCAGCCUCGGCAGAGACCCUUUUCCCCUCUUCUUCCCCCAGGAUGGAGUUUGAACUGAUGGUGGUGAAGGCUGGUCCGGGUGCUGCCCUGUCUGCAGAGGACAGGAGAGCUGGGAGCCUGCUGUGGAGCUUUUUCCCUUCUCUCACCCUCACUGCUUUCCUGUCUUUUUUGAGUUUGUCUUUCUUGCCCAUUUUUUCCUCUCCUGACCAGCAGCAGCUGGGGAAGCUGCACAGCUGGGGCCGCUCUGGCUGGGGCUGGGGCCGGGGAGCUGACUGCUCUGCAGACUCUGCUCCUUCCUAAGUUUGGGGCUUGGGGCUCUCUGGUGUCAUGUUUUAUGGAAUAAAGGUUGUGUGC